CUGUUUUGUAAACUGACAUUCCUGAGAUGGGGAAUGUUGUUAAUGACACCCUCACUUCAGCACUGGAAAGUUUGCUGAAGAUGCCCACGAAACUAUAUCAUAUUUCUGAUGUGAGGAACUCAGUAUUACACUGCUGAGGGCUUUUACUUCCCAUUUUGCAGAUGGAGAGGCUAAGACCUAGUAAGAGGAAUCCCAGGGGACCCAGCAUGGAGCUCCAUCCACUGUGCACUGAAAACAUCAAACCGGGGGCUGCCGAGGUGUAUCCCUGCACACGUCUCAUCUGUCGGAGAAGCUCAGUGAGUGGUGGGAACCUGCAGCAGUUCCGUGACAGAUUGUGUGCUGCCAUGUGGUGGGUAGAACCACCCCGCCUAGCAGAGUGCAUGGUGCUCCGUGACCUGCCUGGGUCUGCUGGCCUGGCGAGUCUUGCAGCGUGGACUGUGUGUUGUAACUCCCAUGGAGGUGGCUGUGUGAAGGGGGAAAGCACCACAUAGAGGGUUACAGAGCAGCUCAAGGAGGUGCCCUUGAGCCAGGUGAGAAAACAGCUGCUGGCAGCCGCCUCAACGGGUUGAGAAAACAUCUUUAUUUAAGAACUGCCUGCUACCAGAGUCAAUAAAUAGCUACCAUUACAAGAACUACAAGAGCAAAAUCGGGUCCAGUGGGGUGGCUCCGUUUGAACAGAAUCCUUCAAGUCAGUGAUCCAGCGAAGGCCUAGCAUUGCCAGUUCCUGAGCUCUAAGCUACGAAGGUCCCAACAUGGGUGGUAAGCUGGCAUAAGGUGCAGCCCAUCUAAGGCCCAAAAUGCCUUAC
Molecule: long non-coding RNA, 806 nt
Filed under: Heterocephalus glaber (naked mole-rat)
Lineage: Eukaryota; Metazoa; Chordata; Mammalia; Rodentia; Bathyergidae
Description: lncRNA (ENSHGLG00000036894.1)
Source: RNAcentral